AGAGUUUGAUCAUGGCUCAGAUUGAACGCUGGCGGCAGGCCUAACACAUGCAAGUCGAGCGGUAACAGGGGUAGCUUGCUACCCGCUGACGAGCGGCGGACGGGUGAGUAAUGCAUAGGAAUCUGCCCGAUAGUGGGGGAUAACCUGGGGAAACCCAGGCUAAUACCGCAUACGUCCUACGGGAGAAAGGGGGCUCCGGCUCCCGCUAUUGGAUGAGCCUAUGUCGGAUUAGCUAGUUGGUAAGGUAAUGGCUUACCAAGGCAACGAUCCGUAGCUGGUCUGAGAGGAUGAUCAGCCACAUCGGGACUGAGACACGGCCCGAACUCCUACGGGAGGCAGCAGUGGGGAAUAUUGGACAUGGGGGCAACCCUGAUCCAGCCAUGCCGCGUGUGUGAAGAAGGCCCUCGGGUUGUAAAGCACUUUCAGCGAGGAAGAACGCCUAUCGGUUAAUACCCGGUAGGAAAGGCAUCACUCGCAGAAGAAGCACCGGCUAACUCCGUGCCAGCAGCCGCGGUAAUACGGAGGGUGCAAGCGUUAAUCGGAAUUACUGGGCGUAAAGCGCGCGUAGGUGGCUUGAUAAGCCGGUUGUGAAAGCCCCGGGCUCAACCUGGGAACGGCGUCCGGAACUGUCAGGCUAGAGUGCAGGAGAGGAAGGUAGAAUUCCCGGUGUAGCGGUGAAAUGCGUAGAGAUCGGGAGGAAUACC
RNAcentral lists this ribosomal RNA (704 nucleotides) under uncultured bacterium. RNAcentral describes it as "bacterial SSU rRNA". It matches the Rfam family "Bacterial small subunit ribosomal RNA", at positions 8 to 710 of the family's 1533-position model. The record is from RNAcentral.